This 220-nucleotide ribosomal RNA is filed under the name uncultured bacterium. RNAcentral's name for it is "partial 16S ribosomal RNA". It matches the Rfam family "Bacterial small subunit ribosomal RNA", at positions 57 to 305 of the family's 1533-position model. The record is from RNAcentral.
GCAAGUCGAACGAGACCUUCGGGUCUAGUGGCGCACGGGUGCGUAACGCGUGGGAACCUGCCUUUAGGUUCGGGAUAACAGUUGGAAACGACUGCUAAUACCGAAUGAUGUCUUCGGACCAAAGAUUUAUCGCCUUUAGAUGGGCCCGCGUUGGAUUAGGUAGUUGGUGGGGUAAAGGCCUACCAAGGCUUCGAUGGUUAGCUGGUCUGAGAGGAUGAUC